AGAGUUUGAUCCUGGCUCAGAUUGAACGCUGGCGGCAUGCCUUACACAUGCAAGUCGAACGGCAGCGGACCUUCGGGUGCCGGCGAGUGGCGAACGGGUGAGUAAUAUAUCGGAACGUGCCUUUCAGUGGGGGAUAACGUAGCGAAAGUUACGCUAAUACCGCAUAUUCUCUGAGGAGGAAAGCAGGGGACCUUCGGGCCUUGCGCUGAUAGAGCGGCCGAUAUCAGAUUAGCUAGUUGGUGGGGUAAAGGCCUACCAAGGCGACGAUCAGUAGCGGGUCUGAGAGGAUGAUCCGCCACACUGGGACUGAGACACGGCCCAGACUCCUACGGGAGGCAGCAGUGGGGAAUUUUGGACAAUGGGCGAAAGCCUGAUCCAGCCAUGCCGCGUGAGUGAAGAAGGCCUUCGGGUUGUAAAGCUCUUUCGGCCGGGAAGAAAUCGCACAGGCUAAUACCUUGUGUGGAUGACGGUACCGGAAUAAGAAGCACCGGCUAACUACGUGCCAGCAGCCGCGGUAAUACGUAGGGUGCGAGCGUUAAUCGGAAUUACUGGGCGUAAAGCGUGCGCAGGCGGUUUGGUAAGACAGGCGUGAAAUCCCCGGGCUCAACCUGGGAACUGCGCUUGUGACUGCCUCACUAGAGUACGGCAGAGGGGGGUGGAAUUCCACGUGUAGCAGUGAAAUGCGUAGAGAUGUGGAGGAACACCGAUGGCGAAGGCAGCCCCCUGGGCCGAUACUGACGCUCAUGCACGAAAGCGUGGGUAGCAAACAGGAUUAGAUACCCUGGUAGUCCACGCCCUAAACGAUGUCAACUAGUUGUUGGGGGGGUAAAACCCUUUAGUAACGUAGUAACGCGUGAAGUUGACCGCCUGGGGAGUACAGCCGCAAGGUUAAAACUCAAAGGAAUUGACGG
This 911-nucleotide ribosomal RNA is filed under the name uncultured beta proteobacterium. Its description in RNAcentral is "bacterial SSU rRNA". It matches the Rfam family "Bacterial small subunit ribosomal RNA", at positions 8 to 916 of the family's 1533-position model. Lineage: Bacteria; Pseudomonadati; Pseudomonadota; Betaproteobacteria. The record is from RNAcentral.